RNAcentral lists this ribosomal RNA (253 nucleotides) under uncultured bacterium. Its description in RNAcentral is "partial 16S ribosomal RNA". It matches the Rfam family "Bacterial small subunit ribosomal RNA", at positions 524 to 776 of the family's 1533-position model. The record is from RNAcentral.
UACGUAGGGUGCAAGCGUUGUCCGGAAUUAUUGGGCGUAAAGAGCUCGUAGGCGGUCUGUUGCGUCUGCUGUGAAAACCCGGGGCUCAACUCCGGGCCUGCAGCCGAUACGGGCAGACUAGAGUUCGGCAGGGGAGACUGGAAUUCCUGGUGUAGCGGUGAAAUGCGCAGAUAUCAGGAGGAACACCGGUGGCGAAGGCGGGUCUCUGGGCCGAUACUGACGCUGAGGAGCGAAAGCGUGGGGAGCAAACAGG